This 253-nucleotide ribosomal RNA is filed under the name uncultured Oscillospira sp. RNAcentral's name for it is "partial 16S ribosomal RNA". It matches the Rfam family "Bacterial small subunit ribosomal RNA", at positions 524 to 776 of the family's 1533-position model. The record is from RNAcentral. Lineage: Bacteria; Bacillati; Bacillota; Clostridia; Eubacteriales; Oscillospiraceae.
UACGUAGGUGGCAAGCGUUGUCCGGAUUUACUGGGUGUAAAGGGCGUGCAGCCGGAGAGACAAGUCAGAUGUGAAAUCCACAGGCUCAACCUGUGAACUGCAUUUGAAACUGUUUCCCUUGAGUAUCGGAGAGGUCAUCGGAAUUCCUAGUGUAGCGGUGAAAUGCAUAGAUAUCACGCAGAACCCCGAUUGCGAAGGCAGCAUACCGGUGCACAACUGACGCUCAGGCACGAAAGCGUGGGUAUCGAACAGG